RNAcentral lists this ribosomal RNA (664 nucleotides) under uncultured Syntrophus sp. Its description in RNAcentral is "bacterial SSU rRNA". It matches the Rfam family "Bacterial small subunit ribosomal RNA", at positions 9 to 648 of the family's 1533-position model. The record is from RNAcentral. Lineage: Bacteria; Pseudomonadati; Thermodesulfobacteriota; Syntrophia; Syntrophales; Syntrophaceae.
GAGUUUGAUCAUGGCUCAGAACAAACGCUGGCGGCGUGCCUAACACAUGCAAGUCGUACGAGAAAGUCGGCUUCGGCCGAUGAGUACAGUGGCGCACGGGUGAGUAACGCGUGGGUAAUCUACCCCUCGGUCAGGAAUAACCCGCCGAAAGGCGGGCUAAUACCCGAUAACACUGACGCUCUGCGGAGUGUCUUUCAAAGAAGGCCUCUGUUUACAAGCUUUCGCCGGAGGAUGAGCCCGCGUACCAUUAGCUAGUUGGCAGGGUAAUGGCCUACCAAGGCAACGAUGGUUAGCUGGUCUGAGAGGAUGGCCAGCCACACUGGAACUGAGACACGGUCCAGACUCCUACGGGAGGCAGCAGUGAGGAAUCUUGCGCAAUGGGGGAAACCCUGACGCAGCAACGCCGCGUGAGUGAGGAAGGCCUUCGGGUCGUAAAGCUCUGUCAGAUGGGAAGAAAUGGGGUGGGGGCUAAUAUCGUCCACCCUUGACGGUACCAUCAGAGGAAGCACCGGCUAACUCCGUGCCAGCAGCCGCGGUAAUACGGGGGGUGCAAGCGUUGUUCGGAAUCAUUGGGCGUAAAGCGCGCGCAGGCGGCUUGGUAAGUCAGAUGUGAAAUCCCUGGGCUUAACCCAGGAAGUGCAUUUGAUACUGCCUCGCUAGAGUA